This is a ribosomal RNA of Ochotona princeps (American pika), 115 nucleotides long. NCBI's taxonomy places the organism in Eukaryota, Metazoa, Chordata, Mammalia, Lagomorpha, Ochotonidae. The record is from Ensembl.
GUCUACGGCCAUACCACCCUGAACGCGCCCGAUCUCGUCUAAUCUCGGAAGCUAAGCAGGGUCGGGCCUGGUUAGUACUUGGAUGGGAGAAGUGGAACAGCUGGGACUCGAAAUG